CUUGACUGUUCUGUUACAUUUAUUUACUUAUUCAGUCACGUAUUUAUAUCAAUAUGGGCUCACGGAGGUUUGCGUUCUUCUUUGGGUUGUAACCUAAUAUAAUUAUUUAAUAGUUUUUCUCCGGUUGUUCCAGCUAUUGCUCUUGGGAGCUCUCUACGUUUGGCGCGUGUCCAUUUGGAAUGCGCCCAUCUUUCUUUUCCGCCCGCCAUUUUGAAGCACUUCCUUUCUUCCUGGCAUUACAAGAUGUUCCAGUCUUGAGUCAGAAUUUCUUUGAGGGGAUCUCUCUUCCUGGAGGACGAUGAAUAAGAGGUUAUGAAUUUUCAUAGAGCUGAAAGAUGUGCUUCUGUGUCAGAGGAGGGAAGAAGACAAGGAACGAGACCUUCCUGAGACAGACUCUGAUUGCGUGGUGGCCCAGGCUUCCUGUUCAGAGGGCAUGCGGAGUGAACUAGGUUGAACCCCACUUGUGGGGCUGAAAAUGUAUUCCCACGGUGGUCUGGAAAUUCCCCUGGCCGCAGGGUCCUGACCUGGGGCAUCUUCGAGCCUCCAGCACCCCACAUGGCUCCUCCAGGGGCAGGGCCUCUGCAAUAUGAGAUCAACAGGAGGAAUUUAGUCUCACCCUUUGCUGCCAUUUAACUCCAAAUUAACUUUUAUUUGUUUAUUUUUUGUACAUUUGGCUCAUCUGACACUGGCAUUAAAGGAAGGAAAAGAACCAGGUGAUAAAUCAAAACCUGAAUGUUGGGAACGAAUUGCUGCCUUCAUCUAUUUAUUUUUAUCUGUCUGUUUUUAACAUUUGAACCAUUUUAAGUGUGUAGUUAAGUGGCAUUAAUUACAUUUGCACUGCUGUGCAGCCGCUGCCAUCCCUGUCUGUUUUCAUUUUCUCAAACUGAAAUUCUGUACCCAUUGAAUAGUAACUCCCCGCUCCCCCGUUCCCUGAUGGCCACCGCUCU
This 947-nucleotide long non-coding RNA is filed under the name Fukomys damarensis (Damara mole-rat). RNAcentral's name for it is "lncRNA (ENSFDAG00000026844.1)". The record is from RNAcentral. Lineage: Eukaryota; Metazoa; Chordata; Mammalia; Rodentia; Bathyergidae.